CCGGACGGGGUAUGGGGACGGCCCGUUUCACCCUCAUACCGGACGGGGUAAUGAGGUUUAUGGUUUUGGCGCCCAUACCGGACGGGGUAUGGGGACGGCCCUGGAAUAUGAUUUCAAGUGUUAAGGGUUAACGGGUAGCGGGACCCCUAUGGAUCCCCAUGGAUAUUAGUGGGCUGGUAAAUGAGGAAAAUAUAUUGUGUAACGAUUGAAUUUCGAAAGGCUUGAUAAGUAUUACGUUAUACAGUUU
This 247-nucleotide long non-coding RNA is filed under the name Carica papaya (papaya). Its description in RNAcentral is "long non-coding RNA (CPAP_LNC012250)". Lineage: Eukaryota; Viridiplantae; Streptophyta; Magnoliopsida; Brassicales; Caricaceae. The record is from RNAcentral.